GUGACGAAGCGACGCCGCGUGAGCGAAGAAGGCCUUAGGGUUGUAAAGCUCUGUCGAGGGUUAUGAAAUAUAGAUGGAAUAAUACUCCAUUUAUUUGACAAAGGCCCAAAAGGAAGUCACGGCUAACUCUGUGCCAGCAGCCGCGGUAAUACAGAGGUGGCAAGCGUUGUUCGGUAUUAUUGGGCGUAAAGAGCACGUAGGUGGUUUUGUAAGUCAGGUGUGAAAGCCUUCUGUUCAAAGGAAGAACGGCAUCUGAAACUGCAGAUCUUGAGUGUAGGAGGGGAGAGUGGAACUUCUGGUGGAGCGGUGAAAUGCGUAGAUAUCAGAAGGAACGUCGGCGGCGAAAGCGACUCUCUGGCCUAUUACUGACACUGAGGUGCGAAAGUUAGGGGAGCAAACGGGAUUAGAUACCCCGGUAGUCCUAACCGUAAACGAU
RNAcentral lists this ribosomal RNA (436 nucleotides) under uncultured Planctomycetota bacterium. Its description in RNAcentral is "bacterial SSU rRNA". It matches the Rfam family "Bacterial small subunit ribosomal RNA", at positions 383 to 810 of the family's 1533-position model. Lineage: Bacteria; Pseudomonadati; Planctomycetota. The record is from RNAcentral.